Molecule: small RNA, 642 nt
Filed under: Pyricularia oryzae
Lineage: Eukaryota; Fungi; Ascomycota; Sordariomycetes; Magnaporthales; Pyriculariaceae
Description: Magnaporthe oryzae sRNA M_BR32_EuGene_00008491
Source: RNAcentral
AAAUGUUUUGAAUGUAAUAAAAUAGAAUAUAUUGCCAAAAAUUGCCCUAAAAAUUAAAAUAAUACCCCCGGUUUUACUUUAAAUUUUAGGGGCAAAAUUAAAAAAUUACGAAAAUUUAACGCCACCAACCACUAAUAAAUAUAACCCGAUUAAUAUAAUAUAAUAAAUUGGACCACUUAUUAUAAUAAUAAUUAUAUAAUUUAUAAUAACGUUAAAACCGACGCAGGAUAAUAUUUACAAAAACCCCAAAAUACCCAAAUUUUGAUAAUAAAAAACCGGGUAUUUUUAGAAAUAAAACAACCAACAAAUUUAUACCGAUAGGAAACCCAAUUACCCGAAUUUAUAAAUUUAAACGUUUUAAAAAAAUUGGAAAAAAAGUUUUUAAAAUAAAUUUAUCGUAUUAAAAUAAUAAACCAAUUUGUAAUAUAAAAAUUAAACGAGAAUUUAAAAAAAAAAUCCAGCGAAAAAAAAACCAUAUUUUUAAAUUAAUAUAAUGUAAUAAAGGAAAAUAACCCUUAUAUAUAUGAAAAAAAAUAUAUUAAUUUAUACCGAAACGACCAAUUAAUAUAAUUUUCCGGAUUAUUAUUUUAGGCACAAAUCCAAUAUUUUAUAGGAUUAAUUAAUACAAUUUUUGGAAAUUAU